RNAcentral lists this ribosomal RNA (432 nucleotides) under uncultured bacterium. Its description in RNAcentral is "partial 16S ribosomal RNA". It matches the Rfam family "Bacterial small subunit ribosomal RNA", at positions 29 to 507 of the family's 1533-position model. The record is from RNAcentral.
AACGAACGCUGGCGGCAUGCCUAACACAUGCAAGUCGAACGAGACCUUCGGGUCUAGUGGCGCACGGGUGCGUAACGCGUGGGAACCUGCCCUUAGGUUCGGAAUAACUCCCCGAAAGGGGUGCUAAUACCGGAUAAUGUCUUCGGACCAAAGAUUUAUCGCCUUUGGAUGGGCCCGCGUUGGAUUAGCUAGUUGGUAGGGUAAAAGCCUACCAAGGCGACGAUCCAUAGCUGGUCUGAGAGGAUGAUCAGCCACACUGGGACUGAGACACGGCCCAGACUCCUACGGGAGGCAGCAGUGGGGAAUAUUGGACAAUGGGCGAAAGCCUGAUCCAGCAAUGCCGCGUGAGUGAUGAAGGCCUAGGGUUGUAAAGCUCUUUUACCCGGGAUGAUAAUGACAGUACCGGGAGAAUAAGCUCCGGCUAACUCCGUG